This 268-nucleotide ribosomal RNA is filed under the name uncultured bacterium. RNAcentral's name for it is "partial 16S ribosomal RNA". It matches the Rfam family "Bacterial small subunit ribosomal RNA", at positions 85 to 354 of the family's 1533-position model. The record is from RNAcentral.
CCGAUGGCGACCGGCGCACGGGUGAGUAACACGUAUCCAACCUGCCGAUAACUCGGGGAUAGCCUUUCAAAAGAAAGAUUAAUAUCCGAUAGGAUAUCAAGGUCGCAUGAUCUUGAUAUUAAAGAAUUUCGGUUAUCGAUGGGGAUGCGUUCCAUUAGUUAGUUGGCGGGGUAACGGCCCACCAAGACGACGAUGGAUAGGGGUUCUGAGAGGAAGGUCCCCCACAUUGGAACUGAGACACGGUCCAAACUCCUACGGAAGGCAGCAG